CAUGGCUUGUUGACAAUAAUUUCAAGUYUCACCUGCCCACUGAUUGAUUGAAUGGCCGCGGUACUUUGACCGUGCAAAGGUAGCAUAAUCAUUAGUUUUUUAAUUGAAAGCUGGAAUGAAGGGUUGGAUGAAAAAAUAGCUGUCUCUAGGGAAAUUUAUUAAAAUUUUACUUUUAAGUGAGAAGGCUUAGAUUUUUAUAGAAGACGAGAAGACCCUAUAGAGUUUUAUUUACAUUUUUGUGAGUUUGAUUGAGGGUUUUUGCUUGUAUUACAAGAAUGUAAAUUUUGUUGGGGUGAUAGAAAAAUUUAAUAAACUUUUUUUUUAUUAUAAUAUUUGUUUGUAAGUAAAUGAUCCUUGUAUAAAGAUUAUAAGAGUAAAUUACCUUAGGGAUAACAGCGUAAUUUUUUCUAGAGUUCUUAUCGAAGGAAAAGUUUGCGACCUCGAUGUUGGAUUAAAAUUUACUGUUGGUGAAGAAGCUAAUAAGUUAGGUCUGUUCGACCUUUAAAAUUUUACAUGAUCUGAGUUUA
This 527-nucleotide ribosomal RNA is filed under the name Trigonopterus klabatensis. RNAcentral's name for it is "partial large subunit ribosomal RNA". The record is from RNAcentral. Lineage: Eukaryota; Metazoa; Arthropoda; Insecta; Coleoptera; Curculionidae.